This 76-nucleotide transfer RNA is filed under the name Exilibacterium tricleocarpae. RNAcentral's name for it is "Cellvibrionaceae bacterium R142 tRNA-Arg". It matches the Rfam family "tRNA". From Rfam's summary of the family: Transfer RNA (tRNA) molecules are approximately 80 nucleotides in length. Their secondary structure includes four short double-helical elements and three loops (D, anti-codon, and T loops). Further hydrogen bonds mediate the characteristic L-shaped molecular structure. tRNAs have two regions of fundamental functional importance: the anti-codon, which is responsible for specific mRNA codon recognition, and the 3' end, to which the tRNAs corresponding amino acid is attached (by aminoacyl-tRNA synthetases). tRNAs cope with the degeneracy of the genetic code in two manners: having more than one tRNA (with a specific anti-codon) for a particular amino acid; and 'wobble' base-pairing, i.e. permitting non-standard base-pairing at the 3rd anti-codon position. The record is from RNAcentral. Lineage: Bacteria; Pseudomonadati; Pseudomonadota; Gammaproteobacteria; Cellvibrionales; Cellvibrionaceae.
GCUUCCGUAGCUCAAUGGAUAGAGCACUUGUCUUCGAAACAAAGUGAUGCUGGUUUGAACCCAGCCGGGAGUGCCA